AGCAAUAUAAUGUAAUUGGUAACAUAUUAGGCUCAUGACCUAAACAUAUACGUUCAACUCGUAUUAUUGCUA
Non-coding RNA from Kluyveromyces lactis, 72 nucleotides. The record is from Rfam. Lineage: Eukaryota; Fungi; Ascomycota; Saccharomycetes; Saccharomycetales; Saccharomycetaceae.